AUAAAUCGCACGUCGUGAUCGCGUCGUAUAAGGUCGGACAAAAUACGUGACAUAUGGACACCUCUAUCCGGAACCAUAAAGUGUUUCGGGUGAAAAAUCGGACUGGUCAACGGUCGUUAUUGCGUUUCACUUCGUUAUGGCCAGCGGCUACAACGUACCUGUGUAAAUGGAACCGGAAUAGUGAAAUGCCGAUCCAUGUUCGAGUUCAUGACGUAGGCGUAUCACCAUUUCGAACGAUAAUUAAUUUGAGCACCCCCAGUAUUUGAGCUAUAGUUGCGCCAAUGAAUAGGUAAACCAUUUCAUUGUGGAACACCAAAACACUACAUGAAUCAUCUUGUAGUAAGAAAACAGCCAUACUAAAAAAGAAUAUGAAAUUUGUUUACAUGGAGAACAUAUAGGAACCAAAAGUUUAAUCUAAUCUAAAGCUUAGGACAUCGAAAUUAAUCACUACCGUACCCGUAAACGUAUAGUUUACGUACAUCGUAUCAUCUCGACGCAUCGUUUCCGCAUGUUUCGCUUUCAGUCUUUGUCGUCUAUGGCAAUGUUUUUCUACCGGGGGUACGCAAAAAGAUACGAGAGGGUACUCGGGAAAAAAAGGGCAAAGAUGGAAAGUACAAAUUGACAGUUUUACGAGUACGUAAAGCAACGGCGAGAGGUCAAGGGGUACGCGAAUGAAGAAAUGAAAGAGAAACGCUGGUCCACGGUACACGACGGCUUCGCAAUAUUACAUUAUUCGUUGCGAGCGACGGAAUCCAAACGUGUAAUUUGACGGACCUAAGAACGCCGGAAAUGGUCGGUUGCCCGUGGACGUGACCGAAAUCGGCCAGGGAUUGCCGCCGUCACCUCGUUGCACUAAUCUUUUCGUUGACAACCUAAAUGUGUACAACGUACAUGACGUCUCACUUUGCGGCCGUGCGAAAUCAAUACUGUACGUACAUAAUUUAUGUCUACACUGUGACGGCCACGACUCCGGAAGGCCCUUCGGACAAACUAUCCAUUAUCGUUCACACGCGCACACGCACACAUCCGGGCACGACAUCGGCGUAAUUUGCAAUUGCAGUUGUUUGGACUUUUGGGGUGUACUUACUGAAAACAAUGACGUUGCACUGUACUGUAUCAGUAAUGAAAAUAAAUGUUUAUUAAAAAAAAAAAAAAUUCGUUUAUAAAUUCGAUCAAAUUUAUGAUUAUAUAGUAUUAUUAAUAGUAAAUCUGUACCAUUAGUUUUAAACCAUA
This is a long non-coding RNA of Sipha flava (yellow sugarcane aphid), 1233 nucleotides long. RefSeq lists it as uncharacterized. Lineage: Eukaryota; Metazoa; Arthropoda; Insecta; Hemiptera; Aphididae. The record is from RefSeq and is a predicted model, not a curated record. The transcript is spliced from 4 exons.